This 2754-nucleotide ribosomal RNA is filed under the name Escherichia coli. RNAcentral's name for it is "partial 23S ribosomal RNA". It matches the Rfam family "Bacterial large subunit ribosomal RNA". The record is from RNAcentral. Lineage: Bacteria; Pseudomonadati; Pseudomonadota; Gammaproteobacteria; Enterobacterales; Enterobacteriaceae.
ACACGGUGGAUGCCCUGGCAGUCAGAGGCGAUGAAGGACGUGCUAAUCUGCGAUAAGCGUCGGUAAGGUGAUAUGAACCGUUAUAACCGGCGAUUUCCGAAUGGGGAAACCCAGUGUGAUUCGUCACACUAUCAUUAACUGAAUCCAUAGGUUAAUGAGGCGAACCGGGGGAACUGAAACAUCUAAGUACCCCGAGGAAAAGAAAUCAACCGAGAUUCCCCCAGUAGCGGCGAGCGAACGGGGAGCAGCCCAGAGCCUGAAUCAGUGUGUGUGUUAGUGGAAGCGUCUGGAAAGGCGCGCGAUACAGGGUGACAGCCCCGUACACAAAAAUGCACAUGCUGUGAGCUCGAUGAGUAGGGCGGGACACGUGGUAUCCUGUCUGAAUAUGGGGGGACCAUCCUCCAAGGCUAAAUACUCCUGACUGACCGAUAGUGAACCAGUACCGUGAGGGAAAGGCGAAAAGAACCCCGGCGAGGGGAGUGAAAAAGAACCUGAAACCGUGUACGUACAAGCAGUGGGAGCACGCUUAGGCGUGUGACUGCGUACCUUUUGUAUAAUGGGUCAGCGACUUAUAUUCUGUAGCAAGGUUAACCGAAUAGGGGAGCCGAAGGGAAACCGAGUCUUAACUGGGCGUUAAGUUGCAGGGUAUAGACCCGAAACCCGGUGAUCUAGCCAUGGGCAGGUUGAAGGUUGGGUAACACUAACUGGAGGACCGAACCGACUAAUGUUGAAAAAUUAGCGGAUGACUUGUGGCUGGGGGUGAAAGGCCAAUCAAACCGGGAGAUAGCUGGUUCUCCCCGAAAGCUAUUUAGGUAGCGCCUCGUGAAUUCAUCUCCGGGGGUAGAGCACUGUUUCGGCAAGGGGGUCAUCCCGACUUACCAACCCGAUGCAAACUGCGAAUACCGGAGAAUGUUAUCACGGGAGACACACGGCGGGUGCUAACGUCCGUCGUGAAGAGGGAAACAACCCAGACCGCCAGCUAAGGUCCCAAAGUCAUGGUUAAGUGGGAAACGAUGUGGGAAGGCCCAGACAGCCAGGAUGUUGGCUUAGAAGCAGCCAUCAUUUAAAGAAAGCGUAAUAGCUCACUGGUCGAGUCGGCCUGCGCGGAAGAUGUAACGGGGCUAAACCAUGCACCGAAGCUGCGGCAGCGACGCUUAUGCGUUGUUGGGUAGGGGAGCGUUCUGUAAGCCUGUGAAGGUGUGCUGUGAGGCAUGCUGGAGGUAUCAGAAGUGCGAAUGCUGACAUAAGUAACGAUAAAGCGGGUGAAAAGCCCGCUCGCCGGAAGACCAAGGGUUCCUGUCCAACGUUAAUCGGGGCAGGGUGAGUCGACCCCUAAGGCGAGGCCGAAAGGCGUAGUCGAUGGGAAACAGGUUAAUAUUCCUGUACUUGGUGUUACUGCGAAGGGGGGACGGAGAAGGCUAUGUUGGCCGGGCGACGGUUGUCCCGGUUUAAGCGUGUAGGCUGGUUUUCCAGGCAAAUCCGGAAAAUCAAGGCUGAGGCGUGAUGACGAGGCACUACGGUGCUGAAGCAACAAAUGCCCUGCUUCCAGGAAAAGCCUCUAAGCAUCAGGUAACAUCAAAUCGUACCCCAAACCGACACAGGUGGUCAGGUAGAGAAUACCAAGGCGCUUGAGAGAACUCGGGUGAAGGAACUAGGCAAAAUGGUGCCGUAACUUCGGGAGAAGGCACGCUGAUAUGUAGGUGAAGUCCCUCGCGGAUGGAGCUGAAAUCAGUCGAAGAUACCAGCUGGCUGCAACUGUUUAUUAAAAACACAGCACUGUGCAAACACGAAAGUGGACGUAUACGGUGUGACGCCUGCCCGGUGCCGGAAGGUUAAUUGAUGGGGUCAGCGCAAGCGAAGCUCUUGAUCGAAGCCCCGGUAAACGGCGGCCGUAACUAUAACGGUCCUAAGGUAGCGAAAUUCCUUGUCGGGUAAGUUCCGACCUGCACGAAUGGCGUAAUGAUGGCCAGGCUGUCUCCACCCGAGACUCAGUGAAAUUGAACUCGCUGUGAAGAUGCAGUGUACCCGCGGCAAGACGGAAAGACCCCGUGAACCUUUACUAUAGCUUGACACUGAACAUUGAGCCUUGAUGUGUAGGAUAGGUGGGAGGCUUAGAAGUGUGGACGCCAGUCUGCAUGGAGCCGACCUUGAAAUACCACCCUUUAAUGUUUGAUGUUCUAACGUUGACCCGUAAUCCGGGUUGCGGACAGUGUCUGGUGGGUAGUUUGACUGGGGCGGUCUCCUCCUAAAGAGUAACGGAGGAGCACGAAGGUUGGCUAAUCCUGGUCGGACAUCAGGAGGUUAGUGCAAUGGCAUAAGCCAGCUUGACUGCGAGCGUGACGGCGCGAGCAGGUGCGAAAGCAGGUCAUAGUGAUCCGGUGGUUCUGAAUGGAAGGGCCAUCGCUCAACGGAUAAAAGGUACUCCGGGGAUAACAGGCUGAUACCGCCCAAGAGUUCAUAUCGACGGCGGUGUUUGGCACCUCGAUGUCGGCUCAUCACAUCCUGGGGCUGAAGUAGGUCCCAAGGGUAUGGCUGUUCGCCAUUUAAAGUGGUACGCGAGCUGGGUUUAGAACGUCGUGAGACAGUUCGGUCCCUAUCUGCCGUGGGCGCUGGAGAACUGAGGGGGGCUGCUCCUAGUACGAGAGGACCGGAGUGGACGCAUCACUGGUGUUCGGGUUGUCAUGCCAAUGGCACUGCCCGGUAGCUAAAUGCGGAAGAGAUAAGUGCUGAAAGCAUCUAAGCACGAAACUUGCC